AGGGGAGUAGCUCAAUCGGAAGAGCAUCGGUCUCCAAAACCGAGGGUCGCAGGUUCGAGCCCUGUCUCCCCUGCCA
This 76-nucleotide transfer RNA is filed under the name Bacillota bacterium. Its description in RNAcentral is "tRNA-Trp". It matches the Rfam family "tRNA". From Rfam's summary of the family: Transfer RNA (tRNA) molecules are approximately 80 nucleotides in length. Lineage: Bacteria; Bacillati; Bacillota. The record is from RNAcentral.